RNAcentral lists this long non-coding RNA (489 nucleotides) under Numida meleagris (helmeted guineafowl). RNAcentral's name for it is "lncRNA (ENSNMEG00000007437.1)". The record is from RNAcentral. Lineage: Eukaryota; Metazoa; Chordata; Aves; Galliformes; Numididae.
UCCCAGCUGGAAGAUGCGUCCUGCCGCAGGAGUGUGGUGGUGCUGCUGCUGAGAAGCGUGGGGCUGUGGAACAUGCUUGUCUUUGGGAUUAUGUGUGGAGAAAGGCCGUCGGUCCUGGGGAGAGCUGGCUGGUGAACCUCUCUGACUUUGUCCCCUUCUGGGGAAGUGGCUUCAAUGGCUCCAUCUCCCAGGAGAAGCAGUAGGAGAGAUGCCAAUGCCUUGCCAAGCAUGUCCUCAACCUUCUGGGCUAUCAUGAUCCUGGCUAGUCUCCUAAUUGCUUACUGCAAUUAUAACAGCUAUUUUGGAGCGGAAAACCCUCAAUGGCUGUAUAUGAGACAUUGUCCGGGGUGCUUCCAAGAUGCUUUUGAGCUGGGUGAGAGGAAGAAAGAAAACCCUCAAAACUUUCUAACUUUUCAACUUUUCUGUACAAGACUGUUAUACUGCAUUGUUGGCUGAUCUGUGGAGGUUUGCUAUGUAUUGAUUCAUAUG